GACGAACGCUGGCGGCGUGCUUAACACAUGCAAGUCGAACGCUGAACCCGCUUCGGUGGGGGAUGAGUGGCGAACGGGUGAGUAACACGUGGGCAACCUGCCCCCGGCUCUGGGAUAACCCCAAGAAAUUGGGGCUAAUACCGGAUGUGACCGCUGGCCGCAUGGUCUGGUGGUGGAAAGGGUUUCCGGCUGGGGAUGGGCCCGCGGCCUAUCAGCUUGUUGGUGGGGAAGUGGCCUACCAAGGCGACGACGGGUAGCCGGCCUGAGAGGGUGACCGGCCACACUGGGACUGAGACACGGCCCAGACUCCUACGGGAGGCAGCAGUGGGGAAUAUUGCGCAAUGGGCGGAAGCCUGACGCAGCGACGCCGCGUGGGGGAUGACGGCCUUCGGGUUGUAAACCUCUUUCAGCAGGGACGAAGCGCAAGUGACGGUACCUGCAGAAGAAGCACCGGCCAACUACGUG
This 465-nucleotide ribosomal RNA is filed under the name uncultured bacterium. RNAcentral describes it as "partial 16S ribosomal RNA". It matches the Rfam family "Bacterial small subunit ribosomal RNA", at positions 28 to 507 of the family's 1533-position model. The record is from RNAcentral.